UUAAGCGACUAAGCGUACACGGUGGAUGCCCUGGCAGUCAGAGGCGAUGAAGGACGUGCUAAUCUGCGAAAAGCGUCGGUAAGGUGAUAUGAACCGUUACAGCCGGCGAUGUCCGAAUGGGGAAACCCAGUGCAAUUCGUUGCACUAUCGUUAACUGAAUACAUAGGUUAACGAGGCGAACCGGGGGAACUGAAACAUCUAAGUACCCCGAGGAAAAGAAAUCAACCGAGAUUCCCCCAGUAGCGGCGAGCGAACGGGGAGCAGCCCAGAGUCUGAAUCAGCUUGUGUGUUAGUGGAACGGUCUGGAAAGUCCGACGGUACAGGGUGAUAGUCCCGUACACCAAAAUGCACAGGUUGUGAACUCGAAGAGUAGGGCGGGACACGUGGUAUCCUGUCUGAAUAUGGGGACCAUCCUCCAAGGCUAAAUACUCCUGACUGACCGAUAGUGAACCAGUACCGUGAGGGAAAGGCGAAAAGAACCCCGGCGAGGGAGUGAAAAGAACCUGAAACCGUGUACGUACAAGCAGUGGGAGCACCUUCGGGUGUGACUGCGUACCUUUGUAUAAUGGGUCAGCGACUUAUAUUCUGUAGCAAGGUUAACCGUAUAGGGGAGCCGCAGGGAAACCGAGUCUUAACUGGGCGUUAAGUUGCAGGGUAUAGACCCGAAACCCGGUGAUUCAGCCAUGGGCAGGUUGAAGGUUGGGUAACACUAACUGGAGGACCGAACCGACUAAUGUUGAAAAAUUAGCGGAUGACUUGUGGCUGGGGGGUGAAAGGCCAAUCAAACCGGGAGAUAGCUGGUUCUCCCCGAAAGCUAUUUAGGUAGCGCCUCGUGAACUCAUCUUCGGGGGUAGAGCACUGUUUCGGCUAGGGGGUCAUCCCGACUUACCAACCCGAUGCAAACUACGAAUACCGAAGAAUGUUAUCACGGGAGACACACGGCGGGUGCUAACGUCCGUCGUGAAGAGGGAAACAACCCAGACCGCCAGCUAAGGUCCCAAAGUCAUGGUUAAGUGGGAAACGAUGUGGGAAGGCACAGACAGCCAGGAUGUUGGCUUAGAAGCAGCCAUCAUUUAAAGAAAGCGUAAUAGCUCACUGGUCGAGUCGGCCUGCGCGGAAGAUGUAACGGGGCUAAACCAUGCACCGAAGCUGCGGCAGCGACACUAUGUGUUGUUGGGUAGGGGAGCGUUCUGUAAGCCUGCGAAGGUGUGCUGUGAGGCAUGCUGGAGGUAUCAGAAGUGCGAAUGCUGACAUAAGUAACGAUAAAGCGGGUGAAAAGCCCGCUCGCCGGAAGACCAAGGGUUCCUGUCCAACGUUAAUCGGGGCAGGGUGAGUCGACCCCUAAGGCGAGGCCGAAAGGCGUAGUCGAUGGGAAACAGGUUAAUAUUCCUGUACUUGGUGUUACUGCGAAGGGGGGACGGAGAAGGCUAUGUUAGCCGGGCGACGGUUGUCCCGGUUUAAGCAUGUAGGCUGGUUAUCCAGGCAAAUCCGGAUAAUCAAGGCUGAGGUGUGAUGACGAGGCACUACGGUGCUGAAGUAACAAAUGCCCUGCUUCCAGGAAAAGCCUCUAAGCAUCAGGUAACAUCAAAUCGUACCCCAAACCGACACAGGUGGUCAGGUAGAGAAUACCAAGGCGCUUGAGAGAACUCGGGUGAAGGAACUAGGCAAAAUGGUGCCGUAACUUCGGGAGAAGGCACGCUGGUGUGUAGGUGAAGUCCCUGCGGAUGGAGCUGAGACCAGUCGAAGAUACCAGCUGGCUGCAACUGUUUAUUAAAAACACAGCACUGUGCAAACACGAAAGUGGACGUAUACGGUGUGACGCCUGCCCGGUGCCGGAAGGUUAAUUGAUGGGGUUAUCCGUAAGGAGAAGCUCUUGAUCGAAGCCCCGGUAAACGGCGGCCGUAACUAUAACGGUCCUAAGGUAGCGAAAUUCCUUGUCGGGUAAGUUCCGACCUGCACGAAUGGCGUAAUGAUGGCCAGGCUGUCUCCACCCGAGACUCAGUGAAAUUGAACUCGCUGUGAAGAUGCAGUGUACCCGCGGCAAGACGGAAAGACCCCGUGAACCUUUACUAUAGCUUGACACUGAACAUUGAGCCUUGAUGUAGGAUAGGUGGGAGGCUUUGAAGCGUGGACGCCAGUCUGCGUGGAGCCAACCUUGAAAUACCACCCUUUAAUGUUUGAUGUUCUAACGUUGGCCCCUGACCGGGGUUGCGGACAGUGUCUGGUGGGUAGUUUGACUGGGGCGGUCUCCUCCCAAAGCGUAACGGAGGAGCACGAAGGUUAGCUAAUCCUGGUCGGACAUCAGGAGGUUAGUGCAAUGGCAUAAGCUAGCUUGACUGCGAGCGUGACGGCGCGAGCAGGUGCGAAAGCAGGUCAUAGUGAUCCGGUGGUUCUGAAUGGAAGGGCCAUCGCUCAACGGAUAAAAGGUACUCCGGGGAUAACAGGCUGAUACCGCCCAAGAGUUCAUAUCGACGGCGGUGUUUGGCACCUCGAUGUCGGCUCAUCACAUCCUGGGGCUGAAGUAGGUCCCAAGGGUAUGGCUGUUCGCCAUUUAAAGUGGUACGCGAGCUGGGUUUAGAACGUCGUGAGACAGUUCGGUCCCUAUCUGCCGUGGGCGCUGGAGAAUUGAGGGGGGCUGCUCCUAGUACGAGAGGACCGGAGUGGACGCAUCACUGGUGUUCGGGUUGUCAUGCCAAUGGCACUGCCCGGUAGCUAAAUGCGGAAGAGAUAAGUGCUGAAAGCAUCUAAGCACGAAACUUGCCCCGAGAUGAGUUCUCCCUGAGACUAUAAGUCUCCUGAAGGAACGUUAAAGACGAUGACGUUGAUAGGCCGGGUGUGUAAGCGCAGCGAUGCGUUGAGCUAACCGGUACUAAUGAACCGUGAGGCUUAACCU
Molecule: ribosomal RNA, 2893 nt
Filed under: Klebsiella pneumoniae
Lineage: Bacteria; Pseudomonadati; Pseudomonadota; Gammaproteobacteria; Enterobacterales; Enterobacteriaceae
Description: bacterial LSU rRNA
Rfam family: Bacterial large subunit ribosomal RNA
Source: RNAcentral